Molecule: long non-coding RNA, 886 nt
Organism: Gasterosteus aculeatus aculeatus (three-spined stickleback)
Lineage: Eukaryota; Metazoa; Chordata; Actinopteri; Perciformes; Gasterosteidae
Source: Ensembl
UGUUAACAGUCUCUAUAGUUUCCUUAUUAGGACUUCACAACGGUGCAAACAGAGUAUUGUGAGGAAGGCUUCAUCAGGUUCAGUGGAUCCCUCUGUCUCCUAGAAAUGAACUUUACAUCCCACCAAUGAGGUUUCCCACGACGCACACUGGACAUCUUUGUCAACAGUUGGGGCUGAACGGUGACCCUCUGCCAAAGAAGAGGAAAAGGGAAGCGAGGGGAGACAGGGUGACGGUUGGCUCUCAGGUGGUCCCAACUCCAUCCUCUCUGUUGAACAAACAUCUCCACACUGUGCUCGUCUGUCUGUGGGGGCUCUCAUCACCCUCGAGGCCAUUUCUGCCCAUUCAACAGGGUCUUAUAAAGACAGAUCCGCCCUACAAAUUAGUCCAUAUUGAGAAAGGGGAAGGUAGAUGGAGACGUAGAGAGAUGAGGAGUGGUCCAGGAGAGGAGAGGUGCACGAGUGAGAGAGGACGGGCCAAUCUGGCCCAGAAGUUACAGCUAAUUUCCAAACGAGAGAGGGAGACGGUUGGGAGGAGAGAGAGAGAGAGACGGUUGGGAGGAGAGAGAGAGAGACGGUUGGGAGGAGAGACGCUGGAAGGGAGGAAGGAGAGCCAGAGGGAGUGUUGCAUUUCUCCAUGGUCGUCUUUUCUUGCAGCCACACAGAAAAGCCUGCACUUCAGUGCAAUGGCCUCAAUAGCAUUUUCAAUUAUAGAAUGUACAUGAUCUACAAGCGCAUUGACUGAGACUCAAGGGACAUGGGUGUUGUAGAGAAUCCAUGACAAUAAAGAGGACACAGAAAUGAUCAUAGAGAGGUUGUGUGUCUACACAUGAUUGUUCUUGGUAGAAACUAUAAUAAAUGUUUUAGUUUUACAUCCCUCAGAGCAUCG